CUUAAGAACCCCUACAUGUACCAGGUGCCAGAAAUAGACCCAGCAUUUGUUUCUAACACAGGGAAAGAGUGAGCUGGAGAAACCUCUCAAAUUCAAGAAAGCGUAAAGCAAAUUGAACAAUACGGGUGAGGUGUCUGAGAAAAAUCUGUUGCUGCUGUCUAGGAACAGGAUGAACAAGACCAGGAGGAGGUUUUCCUCUGUUUCACAGGAGCACGGACUAUUCUCUCAUGUUGAAUGUGGCACUUUUUACAUACAAGCAGGAGAGCAACUACACCAAGAUUUUGGAAAACAUGUUAUGUAAGGUUUUAUUUUUAAAAUCAGGAGAGAAUUUCUGCAACAUCCUAUGACCACAGAUCCCUACCCAUCUGCAUUGGGGCACUUACAGAUCACCUUCUCUUCUGAACUUUGUAUGAAGUGACCAUGUCCCUCCUAUCCCUUUCCAUGUGCACAAGAUCAUGUCAUCUUAAUUGUGACCUCUAUGAUGGGGAUAUGAUAAAGAAGAAAAGUACCUCACAGCGAUGAUUGGCAUGUGAUCACUUAGCCAAUGAGAUAAGAGGCUGUAGAAACGAUGUGAUAAUGACAUCUCCUGAGUUGCAGGUCCAUAUUAGAAGUGGAUAUGAAGUAAACAUUGAGCUUUCCUCACAUUUAAUUAACAAGCUUUAUUAUAGAUACAGCUCAAAUUAGUUAAUUCAGGAAGCUUAUUUUGUAGAAAUUAAAACAUUAAUAAACACAUACAUUUAGAAAUAAAGAACUCGGCUGACCCUUUGACUCUUUGAAACAAGUGGCCUUCCA
This 792-nucleotide long non-coding RNA is filed under the name Homo sapiens (human). Its description in RNAcentral is "HSALNT0080698". The record is from RNAcentral. Lineage: Eukaryota; Metazoa; Chordata; Mammalia; Primates; Hominidae.